GAUGAACGCUGGCGGCGUGCCUAAUACAUGCAAGUCGAGCGAACGGACGAGAAGCUUGCUUCUCUGAUGUUAGCGGCGGACGGGUGAGUAACACGUGGAUAACCUACCUAUAAGACUGGGAUAACUUCGGGAAACCGGAGCUAAUACCGGAUAAUAUUUUGAACCGCAUGGUUCAAAAGUGAAAGACGGUCUUGCUGUCACUUAUAGAUGGAUCCGCGCUGCAUUAGCUAGUUGGUAAGGUAACGGCUUACCAAGGCAACGAUGCAUAGCCGACCUGAGAGGGUGGUCGGCCACACUGGAACUGAGACACGGUCCAGACUCCUACGGGAGGCAGCAGUAGGGAAUCUUCCGCAAUGGGCGAAAGCCUGACGGAGCAACGCCGCGUGAGUGAUGAAGGUCUUCGGAUCGUAAAACUCUGUUAUUAGGGAAGAACAUAUGUGUAAGUAACUGUGCACAUCUUGACGGUACCUAAUCAGAAAGCCACGGCUAACUACGUGCCAGCAGCCGCGGUAAUACGUAGGUGGCAAGCGUUAUCCGGAAUUAUUGGGCGUAAAGCGCGCGUAGGCGGUUUUUUAAGUCUGAUGUGAAAGCCCACGGCUCAACCGUGGAGGGUCAUUGGAAACUGGAAAACUUGAGUGCAGAAGAGGAAAGUGGAAUUCCAUGUGUAGCGGUGAAAUGCGCAGAGAUAUGGAGGAACACCAGUGGCGAAGGCGACUUUCUGGUCUGUAACUGACGCUGAUGUGCGAAAGCGUGGGGAUCAAACAGGAUUAGAUACCCUGGUAAUCCACGCCGUAAACGAUGAGUGCUAAGUGUUAGGGGGUUUCCGCCCCUUAGUGCUGCAGCUAACGCAUUAAGCACUCCGCCUGGGGAGUACGACCGCAAGGUUGAAACUCAAAGGAAUUGACGGGGACCCGCACAAGCGGUGGAGCAUGUGGUUUAAUUCGAAGCAACGCGAAGAACCUUACCAAAUCUUGACAUCCUUUGACAACUCUAGAGAUAGAGCCUUCCCCUUCGGGGGACAAAGUGACAGGUGGUGCAUGGUUGUCGUCAGCUCGUGUCGUGAGAUGUUGGGUUAAGUCCCGCAACGAGCGCAACCCUUAAGCUUAGUUGCCAUCAUUAAGUUGGGCACUCUAAGUUGACUGCCGGUGACAAACCGGAGGAAGGUGGGGAUGACGUCAAAUCAUCAUGCCCCUUAUGAUUUGGGCUACACACGUGCUACAAUGGACAAUACAAAGGGCAGCGAAACCGCGAGGUCAAGCAAAUCCCAUAAAGUUGUUCUCAGUUCGGAUUGUAGUCUGCAACUCGACUACAUGAAGCUGGAAUCGCUAGUAAUCGUAGAUCAGCAUGCUACGGUGAAUACGUUCCCGGGUCU
RNAcentral lists this ribosomal RNA (1372 nucleotides) under uncultured bacterium. Its description in RNAcentral is "bacterial SSU rRNA". It matches the Rfam family "Bacterial small subunit ribosomal RNA", at positions 28 to 1381 of the family's 1533-position model. The record is from RNAcentral.